AUAGCGUAUAUUAAAGUUGUUGUGGUUAAAAAGCUCGUAGUUGAACCUUGGGCCUGGCCGUCCGGUCCGCCUCACCGCGUGCACUGGCACGGCUGGGCCUUCCCACCGCGGAAUCGCAUGCCCUUUACUGGGUGUGUCGGGGAAGCGGUACUUUUACCGUGAAAAAAUUAGAGUGCUCUAAGCAGGCCUAUGCUCGAAUACAUUAGCAUGGAAUAAUGGAAUAGGACAGGCGUUCUAUUUUGUUGGUUUCUAGGACGUCUGUAAUGAUUAACAGGAACAACCGGGGGCGUCAGUAUUGCAUCGUCAGAGGUGAAAUUCUUAGAUCGAUGCAAGACUAACUACUG
This 344-nucleotide ribosomal RNA is filed under the name uncultured eukaryote. RNAcentral's name for it is "SSU rRNA". It matches the Rfam family "Eukaryotic small subunit ribosomal RNA", at positions 594 to 945 of the family's 1831-position model. The record is from RNAcentral.